UGGGGAAUAUUGGACAAUGGGCGCAAGCCUGAUCCAGCCAUGCCGCGUGAGUGAUGAAGGCCCUAGGGUUGUAAAGCUCUUUCACCGGUGAAGAUAAUGACGGUAACCGGAGAAGAAGCCCCGGCUAACUUCGUGCCAGCAGCCGCGGUAAUACGAAGGGGGCUAGCGUUGUUCGGAUUUACUGGGCGUAAAGCGCACGUAGGCGGACUUUUAAGUCAGGGGUGAAAUCCCGGGGCUCACCCCCGGAACUGCCUUUGAUACUGGAAGUCUUGAGUAUGGUAGAGGUGAGUGGAAUUCCGAGUGUAGAGGUGAAAUUCGUAGAUAUUCGGAGGAACACCAGUGGCGAAGGCGGCUCACUGGACCAUUACUGACGCUGAGGGGCGAAAGCGUGGGGAGCAAACAGG
RNAcentral lists this ribosomal RNA (404 nucleotides) under Actinomycetes bacterium. RNAcentral's name for it is "Actinobacteria bacterium partial 16S ribosomal RNA". It matches the Rfam family "Bacterial small subunit ribosomal RNA", at positions 355 to 776 of the family's 1533-position model. The record is from RNAcentral. Lineage: Bacteria; Bacillati; Actinomycetota; Actinomycetes.